CAUGUGUGUGUGCGCGCGCGUGUGAUGUGCCGUUGACCGCUGUUGUGUGUGCUUGUGGUGAUGUUGCCUGUGAGUGUGAUUUUUGCCGCUAUCCUGCGUGAUUCUUGGUGCCUCGAGGAUGAGAGGAAGCCACCCAGAAAAUGGCCAGAAGGAAGCACCAUAUGUGCAGGUGUGCUCAUGUGUGUUAGAAGGUGAGUUUGUGCUUCUAAUUUCCUAAACAUUCCUAUUUCAAAUAGAAAACAGCUAUGGUUGGUGAUAAUAAUUAUUGGUGAACAUUGUUAUUGGUAAACCUGCAAACCUGCAUGAUGUCCAUCUUCCUCUUCUUCCUGUUGCAACUAUUGAUGGCCAUUAUUAUUGCAAUUUUAUCCUAAUUUAUGUUCAACUAUUACCAGGUUCUUUGAUUGAAUCCUAAUUCAAACUUCUAACACACGCAAUACUUUUUGAGCAAUUGUAAGAUGAUGCAUACUCUGACAGUGCUUUGGCCACAUAAAAGGUAAAUCCAUCAUUGUGGAGAUGUCAAAGACAUCACAAAAACAAGCAUCUGAACUUUCUUUUUGGAAUGAAACAAAGAUGCAGACUAACAGUAUUAUGUUUUUUUUGACAUCAACCAAUAUGAUGGGUUGGUUCAGGACUUCAGUUAUAUAUCACCAAUAUAAAAAUCUAUUAACCAUAGCAAUUGUUACUUUUUUUAGCUACUCUCAAAUGCUUCUCUAUUUUAAAUACGUAAUAAAUGUUGUCACAAACACCCUAUUUCCACCGCACUAACGACUGUGGCAGGAAGGAGCCCACCGUCGGCGUCUCCCAUGGCCGAGAAGACCGAGGACCCAGCGCCCUCAAGUACGAUGGAGUUCUUUCUGUUGCGACUUAUGGUGAUGACUGAGGAGUUUUGAGAUCAAUCUUGAUCUGCAUAUGACCGUGACCAUGAGGCGAACCUGGUUGCACUUAGAGACAAUUGAUUAAUGGAGAUCCUCCAGUCAUCGAGCUCCUAAAGGACACCUAGGCUAGAAAUCCACGCUUGUCCAUACCGCUUGCCUUUUAGGCCGAACAACCUCGUGAACUUCGACCCCAUCAUGCUAUAAAUAUAAAUAGUUUACAAAUUAACUAAGUUUUUAGAUUGGAUAUUAUUCCACAUCUAUGCGUAUUUUUUUUCUUACUAUGGUAUAUAUCUAACACUAGAAAAUGAGUUGUUGAAAUAUUUUAUACUAAUAAAUCAUUGGUCUAUAGGACAAGGACUCGGCAGAUGAUUCCUCCUUGACUUUCUACCAGCUGCGCCCUGACUGCGUUUACAGCGUCCCCACGCCGUGUUCAAGACCAAGUUCUAACCCACAUAUCCAAUCUCCCUCCAUGGAUCUUGCCUCUCAUUGACCAAGAGCAACAAUUCAACUCAAUUUGAGAUUUACAAAAGAGAUGGACCUAGAGCAAACAACCUGCGAGGCUUGGUUCGUGUCCAUCGACAACGUUGCUGCCGUAUGUCAAGGUAUGUAGCGGCAGCUUUUGUUAUCCUUUCCACACCAGCAAAUGUCAGAAUUUAUCAUGUGGGCAGUUUUUUUACUGUAGUAUGAGUACAAGGUUCAGGGAAGUUCAGUCAUUUAGUAUCUCACAGAUUGUCUAGGCUUUAAAUUUAGGAGAUGAUUUGGAAGCUCAACAUAGAAACUUAUUUAGUCAAAUGUAGAUUACAUAUUAAACGCCUUUUCAAAGCAAGUAUGGAAGAAAAUGUGGUGACCUCUCCAUGAGGAAAUUUAAUAUAACAGUUUCUUUGACUUGAAGGAAUAUUUGCAGAUUUUAAUCUAUAGGAAGUUUGAGGGUAUCCUCAAGUUAACACACUUGAUUCUUACUGCUGCUUAUGCAUCCCUGAACUUCAGUUAAAUUUAUGAUUAUCUGGAUAUUUCCUAUACUUUAUCAAGUGUAGGGUUCUUAAAAUAAGGACAGACAUUUGUUUCACCUUUUGUAGUUCAUCAUAAUAGCAUAUUAUUUUAAAAAAUGGCAAAUUGCCAAGUACAGUUCUGAAGCGGAGAGUUACUUAUGUAUUUUUUUAUUCAUGAAUGACAUGAUCAAGGAGUCAGGUGCAAAAAUGCUUUAUAAAUCAGGUGAGACAACAUGCUAAAAUUUUGUGGCGAUUAGUGAAGGAAAGAACUAUGUACUCUUGUUUCAAGUAGACUUCAUCGCCUUAUUGUUAGAGUCAGCUUCACCUCCCAUUGUUAUAUUCUUGAAGUGAAUAUUAUGCCCCCCACCCCCCACUCCCCAUUUAUGUUGUUGAAAAUGGCAAUCGCUUGAUCUUUGAAUCAUGCAACUGCCUAUCUACAAAUCAUAAAUGAACAAAUAAAACGUACUGAUAUAUCCAAAUAGUUGAGUAUCCUGCUUGUAGAAUUUGUUCCUAUUUAUCCUUUUGUCAUUUUUACAUAUGGGCAUCCGGUGUUUGCGGCAUCUCAAAGUUUACAUUUUUAAGUUGAUAUAUUGUACACGUUGGAAUUUUGUGUUGUGCCUCAAAGUUUGCCCUUUUUACAAGUAGAUGCAUUUUAGUUAUAGAUACAUCCCUUGUUGUCCAUUUUGAUGACAAGUAUUUUCGGACGGAGGGAGUAAUAUAUUGUGUAUUUUGUUGAUGAUUUGUUGCUGAGAUAUAUUCCAAGUGAUAAUCAUACAUUAUAUGUUUGCUCCUCCAUGUUAGGAGAGGAGUGGAAAUAUGGUUAAAUUCUAAAUAUGAUAUUAUGCAGCAUGACCAAAAUAUCACAUCUUAUUAAUCCCUUUCUCUUGGCAGUGUGCUACAUCUGGUCGCUCAAGGCCAAGGAGGUGAUGAAAGGCUUCUUGAUAAGUUUUUAGCUAUCUGAUUCAAAUCCAUAUAGCUUGCGAGAUGAUGGCAUAGUAUUAUCUGACAUUUUAUCUGUAUUUGAUUAAAUGUCUUUCCCUUUAAGAAAUAUAGUGCAAUGGAAUUGAAUUUUAGAAACUACCGUUGGUUACUAUUAUUUGUGAAUUCUAUUUAACGCUUCACGAUUUUUUCCCGGUUCCAGUUCUUGUAAAGGAUAUGAUAAUCAUUUAAACAAAG
Molecule: long non-coding RNA, 3040 nt
Filed under: Triticum aestivum (bread wheat)
Lineage: Eukaryota; Viridiplantae; Streptophyta; Magnoliopsida; Poales; Poaceae
Description: long non-coding RNA (TAES_LNC001564)
Source: RNAcentral